AGAGCGAACGCUGGCGGCAGGCCUAACACAUGCAAGUCGAGCGGGCAUCGCAAGAUGUCAGCGGCAGACGGGAGAGUAACACGUGGGAACAUGCCCUUCGGUUCGGAAUAACUCAGGGAAACUUGAGCUAAUACCGGAUACGUCCGUAAGGAGAAAGAUUUAUCGCCGAAGGAUUGGCCCGCGUCCGAUUAGCUAGUUGGUGAGGUAAUGGCUCACCAAGGCGACGAUCGGUAGCUGGUCUGAGAGGAUGAUCAGCCUCACUGGGACUGAGACACGGCCCAGACUCCUACGGGAGGCAGCAGUGGGGAAUAUUGGACAAUGGGCGCAAGCCUGAUCCAGCCAUGCCGCGUGGGUGAUGAAGGCCCUAGGGUUGUAAAGCCCUUUCGGCGGGGAAGAUAAUGACGGUACCCGCAGAAGAAGCCCGGCUAACUUCGUGCUAGCAGCCGC
RNAcentral lists this ribosomal RNA (447 nucleotides) under uncultured bacterium. RNAcentral describes it as "SSU rRNA". It matches the Rfam family "Bacterial small subunit ribosomal RNA", at positions 26 to 518 of the family's 1533-position model. The record is from RNAcentral.